RNAcentral lists this long non-coding RNA (139 nucleotides) under dengue virus type 2. Its description in RNAcentral is "Dengue virus type 2 partial sfRNA1". The record is from RNAcentral. Lineage: Riboviria; Orthornavirae; Kitrinoviricota; Flasuviricetes; Amarillovirales; Flaviviridae.
CAGAAGUCAGGUCGGAUUAAGCCAUAGUACGGAAAAAACUAUGCUACCUGUGAGCCCCGUCCAAGGACGUAAAAAGAAGUCAGGCCACUACAAGUGCCAUAGCUUGAGUAAACUAUGCAGCCUGUAGCUCCACCUGAGG